RNAcentral lists this ribosomal RNA (260 nucleotides) under uncultured bacterium. RNAcentral's name for it is "partial 16S ribosomal RNA". It matches the Rfam family "Bacterial small subunit ribosomal RNA", at positions 524 to 782 of the family's 1533-position model. The record is from RNAcentral.
UACGUAGGGUGCGAGCGUUAAUCGGAAUUACUGGGCGUAAAGCGUGCGCAGGCGGUUUUGUAAGCCGGAUGUGAAAUCCCCGGGCUUAACCUGGGAAUGGCAUUCGGGACUGCAAGGCUGGAGUGCGGCAGAGGAGACUGGAAUUCCUGGUGUAGCAGUGAAAUGCGUAGAUAUUGGGAGGAACACCAGUGGCGAAGGCGGCUCACUGGACUGGUACUGACGCUGAGGCGCGAAAGCGUGGGGAGCAAACGGGAUUGAGA